UACGUAGGAUGCAAGCGUUGUCCGGAAUUAUUGGGCGUAAAGAGCGCGCAGGCGGUAUGACAAGUCAGAUGUGAAAGAGGCCGGCUUAACCGGCAAGGGUCAUUUGAAACUGUCAGACUAGAGUGCAGCAGAGGAUAGUGGAAUUCCCGGUGUAGUGGUGAAAUGCGUAGAUAUCGGGAGGAACACCAGUGGCGAAGGCGACUAUCUGGGCUGCAGCUGACGCUGAGGCGCGAAGGCUAGGGUAGCAAACAGG
RNAcentral lists this ribosomal RNA (253 nucleotides) under uncultured bacterium. Its description in RNAcentral is "partial 16S ribosomal RNA". It matches the Rfam family "Bacterial small subunit ribosomal RNA", at positions 524 to 776 of the family's 1533-position model. The record is from RNAcentral.